GGGGGGGGGGGGGGGGGGGGGGGGGGGGGGGGGGGCGGGGGGGGGGGGGGGGCGUGGGGGGUGGGGUGGUGGGGGACGGGUGAGUAACGCGGGGGUAACCUGCCCUUAACUCUGGGAUACGCCUGGGAGGCUGGGUCUAGUCCCGGCUGGGGGCGUCCACCGCAUGGUGGGUGUGGGAAAGCUUUAUCGGUUUUGGAUGGACUCGCGGCCUAUCAGCUUGUUGGUGAGGUAAUGGCUCACCAAGGCGACGACGGGUAGCCGGCCUGAGAGGGUGACCGGCCACACUGGGACUGAGACACGGCCCAGACUCCUACGGGAGGCAGCAGUGGGGAAUAUUGCACAAUGGGCGCAAGCCUGAUGCAGCGACGCCGCGUGAGGGAUGACGGCCUUCGGGUUGUAAACCUCUUUCAGUAGGGAAGAAGCGAAAGUGACGGUACCUGCAGAAGAAGCACCGGCUAACUACGUG
RNAcentral lists this ribosomal RNA (466 nucleotides) under uncultured bacterium. RNAcentral describes it as "partial 16S ribosomal RNA". The stretch from base 49 to 466 matches the Rfam family "Bacterial small subunit ribosomal RNA", at positions 39 to 507 of the family's 1533-position model. The record is from RNAcentral.